This is a non-coding RNA of Arachis ipaensis, 790 nucleotides long. Lineage: Eukaryota; Viridiplantae; Streptophyta; Magnoliopsida; Fabales; Fabaceae. The record is from RefSeq and is a predicted model, not a curated record.
AGCCCUCUACCACCGUUACCCACCCUCACCUUGUUACCCCUCACCAAUCAUCAACACAAAAAAGAAAGGGAAAGAAAGAAACGGUGAGGGCUUGAGGGAAGAGAGGGAGAAUCAGAGCUGUGGGAGAAGAGAGAAGCAGAGCAAGACAGCACCGGUGCCGUGGGUCUCGCCACGACCGUUGACACUGCUGUAGACUGCGAAGCCGCCGCCGCUUCCACUAACGAAGAGGAGAGAAGGGGACGCCGUUGAGCAAACUGUGCGAGAGAGGGAGCUGCCUUCCACGCGUCGCCAUCAUCGAGUCCGAGGCAGAGAGGAGGAGCGCGAGCGGGAGGAAGAAGCCGUUGCCAUCACCGUUGGUGCUCCGUCGUCGCUACCGUUCGUGAACUAGACGCCGUCGCCAUCAGAAGCUCUUGUCGCCACCGAGAAUCCCAUCACUGUCAGAUCCAUCACUGUCAAACGCAGCUGCAAAUCCUUCUGUUGACCCUAUUUUGCAAACCAAAGACUCUGUUCUUGACAAGCUUUAAGAGAUUAAUGUUAAAGCCUCUAUACUUCUUCUCAAGGAUGCAGCUCCUCACUUGCACAAAGGCUCAUCUGUGGUUAUUAUUUCCUCCAUCACCGGCUUCAAUCCUCCUGCUUCUAUGUCUAUGUAUGGAGUGACCAAAACAGCCCUUUUUGAACUUACCAAAGCCUUGGCUGCUGAGAUGGCCCCAAACACUCGUGUAAACUGUAUUGCUCCCGGUUUUGUGCCAACUAAUUUUGCCUCGUUUAUUACCAGUAAUCAAUCAAUUUU